CCCUUAGAUGUCCUGGGCUGCACGCGCGCUACACUGAUGUGUCCAGUAAGCACCUAACCUCUUCCGAAAGGAACGGGUAACCUUUGCAAAGCACAUCGUGAUGGGGAUAGAUUAUUGCAAUUAUUAGUCUUGAACGAGGAAUUCCUAGUAAGCACAAGUCAUCAGUUUGUGUUGAUUACGUCCCUGCCCUUUGUACACACCGCCCGUCGCUCCUACCGAUUGAAUGUUCCGGUGAGCUCUUCGGACUGCGCGGUCUGCAGUUUCUGCGUUCCGUGCGGAAAGUUGCGCAAACCUUAACAUUUAGAGGAAGGAGAAGUCGUAACA
Molecule: ribosomal RNA, 324 nt
Filed under: uncultured eukaryote
Lineage: Eukaryota
Description: partial 18S ribosomal RNA
Rfam family: Eukaryotic small subunit ribosomal RNA
Source: RNAcentral